GGUGGGGUGGCAGAGCGGUUGAAUGCGCAGGUUUCGAAAACCUGUAUGGCAGAAAUGCUAUCGCGAGUUCAAAUCUCGCCCCCACCGCCA
This 90-nucleotide transfer RNA is filed under the name bacterium. Its description in RNAcentral is "tRNA-Ser". It matches the Rfam family "tRNA". From Rfam's summary of the family: Transfer RNA (tRNA) molecules are approximately 80 nucleotides in length. RNAcentral also lists the same sequence under 2 other names. The record is from RNAcentral.